Long non-coding RNA from Brassica rapa (field mustard), 1724 nucleotides. RefSeq lists it as uncharacterized. NCBI's taxonomy places the organism in Eukaryota, Viridiplantae, Streptophyta, Magnoliopsida, Brassicales, Brassicaceae. The record is from RefSeq and is a predicted model, not a curated record.
GACCCGCGCGCCCGCGCGGGUUUUUAUUUUUUAAAUAUAUUUUUAAACUAUUUAACGAUAUUUUUAGAAGUAUAAUUUAUUUACAUGUUUUUAGGUUGUUACAAUCUUUGACGGACAUAGGAUAGUCCGACUCCUUCCCAUUCUAGAAAUUUAUAAUAUCUUAAUUGUACUAAAGCCUUAAAAACACAAUAUCCGAAAAAACGGAUCAUAUUGUAACGGGUACUCUGAUUUACCUGUCGAUCUGAUUUUGUAAGCAAAAUAUAUUUUUUUUGGCACAAAUGAAACAUUAUUAUUAGAUUAUUCUUAUUACUUUUUAUAACUUGUGUAGUUUGUUUUCAAAAUUGUAUAACUUGUGCAAUUUUUUGUUUUAGAUGAAUUUGGACUAAUAAUAUAUGUACCACUUGUUUUGUUGUGAUUUUUUUUUUCUAAAUUUUAAAACAUAUUGAAAAUUUUAAUUCAAAAAAAAAUUAUAUGAAAUGUUAUUAAUAAUAAAUUUGUUUUCUGAUAAUUAUAUUCUCUAACUAUUUAUAUGGGACUAAACUAAUUAAGAUAAUAAUAUAUACAAAAUAGUGUUUUUUUAAUAUUUAAAAUUUCAGUUACGGAGUUUUAAUUUUUUUCACAAAAAAACAACAACCAUAAGAUGCUAUAUAAAAUAUAGUAUUCAUUAACUUUCUUUAUAUAAAAAAUGUAAAUGUCAAUUAUUUACAAAAUUAUUAUUUACAAAAUUGGGCCAUACACAUAAACUUCCUAAAUUAUUUAAACAUUACAUUAAAUCUGGCCCAUAUAAAAAUUGUAAUCAAUAUCCAUUAGCCCAACUAAUUACUCCGGGAAAGGGUUUGUUAUCUAACAUGCUAAUAAAAAACUAAAACAAUUUCAUUUUUUGCUUCUUUUUUUCUCGAUCUGUCGCUGCCUCUCUCUCUCUUUCUUAACUCUUUUGUCUUCUUCGUGUUCUUCAAUCCUUCAAACACCUAACCCAAAUACAGAAUCUGAACUACUUAUGAUUUCAUGUUCACUCUCAAUCCGGAUUAAAUACAAUCGAUCUAUUGUAUUACAGGUUGAUGCAACAUAUAAAAUGGAGCUUUCUUUGAAACAUCAUCUCCACCAUGAUUCAUCUCCGCCAUGUAACUGAUUCAGACAAUAAGCAGAUAAGUAUAAAUUUUUUAUGUUUGUUUAUUCUGUAAAAUCUCAUUUAUUAUCCUUCUUUCUCAAUUCAUUGUGUUUGUUUGUUCUGUAAAAUGUUUGAGAAUAAUUUAUAUGUUUUAUUUGAUUUAUGAGGAAAACGAAGAUUCAGUCCUUAAUUCUAACAAUUCCCUAUACGCAUUUGUCGUAGAGAAGAAAGACCAGACUCGAGAUGACCAAUUCCAUAUACGCAUUUGUCGACCAACUGGAACAAAACAAUGGACGCACUCAAGAGUAUCUCCUCCAUAGCUGGUGGUUUGUUUCCAGGAAUGAGGCAGUUUCAGAGUGAGACGCCAUUCAUCUCGGAACAGUUUGAGAUUCUUAAUAAGACAUAUUUUUCUUUCAUUUGACAUGUUUGCUGUGAGACCUUGAUGCUAAAGUCUUUGAAUGUAGUCUCAGUAUAUAUAUAUAGAUGGGUGAUGAAAUAUAGGUUAAGCUGUAUUUAUGGCGAGGAUAUAUGUAUCAACGAUAUUUUUUCCUUUCUGUUAAUAAAUAAAUCAUAUAUAUUGUAAUAUAUGUUAUUCAAACUUAGAUACUAUUGAUCU